AAUUUGUGGUGCUUGCAACGGAUGGAGUAGGCCUAUAGUUCUCAAAUUAGUAAAAAAUUCUAUCUCAAAUUAUCAUAGAAAAAACCCUUCUACAAAAUUAACAAGUUAUAACCAUUUUAGGUUUGGGGUGUGCUAAGCAAUAAGAAGUGGUAUUGCUUAUAUGUUUAGCAAAGAGCGAAGAGACAACAACCAAGGCAGUGAUGAUAAACUCAAAUUAGAAUGAAAUGGAG
This 230-nucleotide long non-coding RNA is filed under the name Daucus carota (carrot). RNAcentral describes it as "long non-coding RNA (DCAR_LNC000598)". Lineage: Eukaryota; Viridiplantae; Streptophyta; Magnoliopsida; Apiales; Apiaceae. The record is from RNAcentral.